Molecule: unclassified non-coding RNA, 401 nt
Filed under: soil metagenome
Description: partial contains 5.8S ribosomal RNA, internal transcribed spacer 2, and large subunit ribosomal RNA
Rfam family: 5.8S ribosomal RNA (bases 1-121)
Source: RNAcentral
GAUGAAGAACGCAGCGAAAUGCGAUAAGUAGUGUGAAUUGCAGAAUUCAGUGAAUCAUCGAAUCUUUGAACGCACCUUGCGCCCCUUGGUUAUUCCAAAGGGCAUGCCUGUUUGAGUAUCAUGAACACCUCAACUCUUGUGGUUUCCCACAAUGAGCUUGGACUGUGGAGGUUUUGUUGGCCCUGUGGUCAGCUCCUCUCAAAUGGAUCAGCUUACCGGUGUUUGGUGGCAUUACGGGUGUGAUAACUAUCUACGCUCGUGGUCGUCUCCAAAUAACCUCCAGUGAUGGAGGUUCGCUGGAGCUUAUAAAUGUCUCUCCCCAGUGAAGACAGCCUUUGAACGUUCGAUCUCAAAUCAGGUAGGACUACCCGCUGAACUUAAGCAUAUCAAUAAGCGGAGGA